CUAAUUAUUACAUAUACAUUGGGUUUUCGGUCUUAUGACCCAUGCAAACAUUCAAAGAAUUUUACUUUUUUCAUCAGAUACCACUGUGUCGGGCAAAUUGCAUACCACGACUACAGCAACCCUAGAUGGACUCCUGGCCACUUUAUUCUGUUCAGCAAAAGCUGUUUUGGUGUUCUCUGGAUCGAACUUUCCUCUCUAAGUGUCUACAGCCGUGUGGAAAACUGACUUCAGUUGGUCUUUCGUCGUCUGUGUUUGUGGAGCUGUAGAGCAUGGUAACUAUGGAAAUUUAAAAGAUUCUAUGUAUUCAUGAUAUAGUAUUUACAGCAACGUCGAAAAAUAUCAAUAUACAUUUAUUAGACCUAACCAAGGGCAGUUGCGAAAACUGCAACUAUGGGCUCUCUGGCUGGAAUCGAACGUGCGACCCUAAAUGAUGAUGGUUUGCAAACCAAAGGGGGUGUAUGUUUUGAACGUGAUGGUAUGGUUUGAACUCUAGGUCUGGGACGGGGUAUAGAAUGUGUGUAUUUCGGUCUGAAAUAGGAUACCUAUUUGUCAUUAUAUCGUAGAUAAUUGUAUCAAAUAACAAGCACGGGUUUGGGAUGUAGGGUAUGGAAAAUCGUCUUUUUUGUUUAGGAUAAGGUUUUCAGGUUACGGCGGACAUACCAUGCAUCCAAAAAUCGCCAGAGUACAAGAAAAAGUGAGGAGCUAGGGUUCCCUUGAGGAUAGCUCUGUGGCAGUGAAAUCGAAAAACCUGCAUCAUUCCUCUGGCUCUCAUGGAUAAGCAUAAAGUAGUCGCGAGAAUAUGUUUCGCACUUAAGGUGGCUCCCUACAGUUGUGAAGAAACAGUAGCGAAAAAUAAGGUCUACACAAAGACGCAAAAUAUUACCUAUUUAUGUGAAGUGGGGAUUUUUUUGGAAGUACAAACGCCUGUGUAAUAUUUAUACUUCAAGCAUUUAUAAUAGUUCGAACGAAGCAAAUUGUGUGUUGCUAUGGUAACAAUGUGGCUUAAGCGACAGCAGGCAAAGAUCAAAUUUUGGAGUAAAAAUGAAUUUAUUGAAAUUUCCUUCGGUCAAAGUUUCAAAAAUAGUCAUCCAUUGGAAGGUUGGACCGCCGCCUGGCUAAAUGCUUGCUUACUAGCUAAUAUUAUUCUGUGAUAUGGUUUUUUUUUUUUUCUUUACCAUUUGUUUUGACUUAGAAAUUUAGUCGCGGAGAAAGAAAGAAAGAAAGAAUCCAGAUAUACUGAUAUAGAUUGCAGAAAACACCGAAGCAAUACCUAAUAUGCCUAUGGCCGUUCAGAAUAGAGCGACAUGAACUCGUAACCAACAGAAAACUAUAGCUAAUUGCAGCAAUUGGAUAACUAGAUUAAUUUGUGUAGACAAAACAUAUAACAUGUACUUUGCAUUUGAAGUAUACUAUAGAUAAGUUUUACUGAAUUUUUCAGCACUUAUUCUUGUAUUUUCACCACAUUUUGUAAUGUUUUUUAACGUUUCAAAUUACUUAAAUCCUUUUUGUAUACAUGUUUUGGCGCCAUUUCGGUGUCAUGCGGCAUUCAUCGUUAAUGAGAUAAUAUAGUUAGUUUGAUAUUUAAAUGGAUUGAAUUUAUGAUGUUGUUUCUAUAGUUCUGAAAACCCGAAAAAUCUUGAAAGAAUCAACUCAACUCGACUUUUUUUUAAAUGUUUUUAACUUGGAAGUUUGCUUUUUUGGUGAAAAAGAAUUCAGAUGAAAAUGUUGUUGUGUACACCUAGGUAGAGGCAUAAUCACGUCAUUUGGAAACAGAAAAUCAUAAAUUGCAAUAUUUUACGUUAUCUUAUGUAGAUAUAUAUCAAACCAACUAUAAUACCUC
Paramuricea clavata is the source of this 1840-nucleotide non-coding RNA. The record is from the annotation of a GenBank genome assembly. Lineage: Eukaryota; Metazoa; Cnidaria; Anthozoa; Malacalcyonacea; Plexauridae.